This is a long non-coding RNA of Cyprinus carpio carpio, 698 nucleotides long. The record is from Ensembl. Lineage: Eukaryota; Metazoa; Chordata; Actinopteri; Cypriniformes; Cyprinidae.
GUCCGUGGCGGCCUGACGAAUUUCGAUGAUUCGCCAUGAAAAAUUAAGUUGCUAUAACUCAGACAUACAAUGUCCAAUCUGCCACAAACUUCACAUGUUUGAUAAGACUCCUGACCUGAACAGAUUGAUAUGCCCAUAUUCAGUUAUAGUCAUAGCGCCACCUACUGGCAACAGGAAGUGACAUAUUUUACGCUGUAACAAACUACCCUGAGAAAUUUUAUGACAUCAAUUGUUUUUUUUCAGUCACUCUAUUCUAAAGGCCUGUGCGAUGUUAAAUUGUGAAGAUCUUGAGAGUUCGUUAAAGUACAACCCCUGAAAAUGGCAAAAACGACACAAAUUUUGCAGAGAAAAUUCUAAAUAACUGACUUCCUGUUGGGAUUCGAAUUUCGUACCAAGAGACUUUUUUGUAGGUAUUGGUGUGUUACAUGUGUGUACCGAUUUUUGUACAUGUACGUGAAACGUAGCUCGAGGCGCACUCCGUUGAAAGUGUAUAGGUGGCGCUAUCGAGGCAUUUUGCCACACCCAAUGGAAUAUUGGCCUUCAGAUGUGUUCAGGCCAGGACACUUAUCGAACAUGUGAAGUUUGGGCAAGAUCGGACAUUUUAUGCCUGAGUUACAAUAACUUUUAUUCCCAUGGCGAGACAUCGAACUUUGUGACCGCGCCAUGGACACGCCCUUUAACGAAAACUCAAGAUCUUC